This 1545-nucleotide long non-coding RNA is filed under the name Triticum aestivum (bread wheat). RNAcentral's name for it is "long non-coding RNA (TAES_LNC014696)". The record is from RNAcentral. Lineage: Eukaryota; Viridiplantae; Streptophyta; Magnoliopsida; Poales; Poaceae.
AAUAAGAAAGGGAUAAAGAGAUGGCUUACAAUCGCCACUUCACACAAUACAUAAAUAUAGCAUUACAUCAUCCAGAUACAAUCAAGGUCCGACUACGGAACCAAAAUAAAGACAACCCCAAAUGCUAGAUCCUCGAUCGCCCGACUGGGCUCCACUACUGACCAACUGGAAACGAAACAACACAACGCACACGAUCUUCAUCGAGCUCCUCCUUGAGCUCGGUUGCGUCACCUGCACUAGUAUCAUCGGCACCUGAAACUGGUUUUGGAAGUAAACUGUGAGUCACGGGGACUCAGCAAUCUCACACCCUCGCGAUCAAGACUAUUUAAGCUUAUGGGUAGGAAAAAGGUAGUGAGGUGGAGCUGCAGCAAGCACUAGCAUAUAUAGUGGCUAACUUACGCAAAUAAGAGCGAGAAGAGAAGCAAUGCAACGGUCGUGAACUAAAAGUGAUCAAGAAGUGAUCCUGAAACUACUUACGUACAAGCAUUACAAAAGAACCGUGUUCACUUCCUGGACUCCGCCGAGAAGAGACCAUCACGGCUACACACGCGGUUGAUGCAUUUUAAUUAAGAUAAGUGUCAAGUUUUCUACAAGCAGAUAUUAACAAAUUCCCAUCUGCCCAUAAAUGCAGGCAUGACUUUCAAAAGUUCAAAACCCUGCAGGGGUGUCCCAACUUAGCCCAUCACAAGCUCUCACGGUCAACGAAGGAUAUUCCUUCUCCCAGGAAGACCCGAUCAGACUCGGAAUCCCGAUUACAAGAUAUUUCGACAAUGGUAAAACAAGACCAGCAAAGCCACCCAAAUGUGCCGACAAAUCCCGAUAUGAGCUGCACAUAUCUCGUUCUCAGGGCACAUUGGAUUGUCCAAACUUCCGGUAGGCCAACCCAGAGUUGCCCCUGGUGGCCACCGGCGACUGACAGGUUGGACCAACACUCAGAGGAGCACUAGCCCGGGGGGGUUAAAAUAAAGAUGACCCUCGGGCUCCAGAAAUCCAAGGGAAAAAGGCUAGGUGAGGCAAAAAUGUAAACCAAGGUUGGGCCUUGCUGGAGGAGUUUUAUUCAAAGCGAACUAUCAAGGGGUCCCCAUUAUCACCCAACCGCGUAAGGAACGCAAAAUCAAGGAACAUAACACCGGUAUGACGGAAACUAGGGCGGCAAGAGUGGAACAAAACACCAGGCAUAAGGCCGAGCCUUCCACCCUUUACCAAGUAUUUAGGUGCAUUAAUUAAAUAAGAGAUACUGUGAUAUCCGAACAUAAUCAUGUUCCAACAUGGAACAAACUUCAUCUUCACCUGCAACUAACAACGCUAUAAGAGGGGCUGAGCAAAGCAGUAACAUAGCCAAACAAUAGUUUGCUAGGAAAGGUGGGUUAAAGGCUGACAUGGCAAUAAUAGGAGGCAUGAUAUAGCAAGUGGAAGGUAUCGCGGCAUAGCAAUAGAGCGAGCAACUAGCAAGCAAAGAUAGAAGUGAUUUCGAGGGCAUGGUCAUCUUGCCUGAGAUCCCGCAAGGAAGAAGAACGAGUCCAUGAAGAAGACAAACAGACGUAG